Molecule: ribosomal RNA, 478 nt
Filed under: uncultured bacterium
Lineage: Bacteria
Description: partial 16S ribosomal RNA
Rfam family: Bacterial small subunit ribosomal RNA
Source: RNAcentral
GACGAACGCUGGCGGCGUGCUUAACACAUGCAAGUCGAACGGUAAGGCCCUUGGGGGUACACGAGUGGCGAACGGGUGAGUAACACGUGGGUGAUCUGCCCUGCACUUCGGGAUAAGCCUGGGAAACUGGGUCUAAUACCGGAUAGGACCACUGCCUGCAUGGGUGGUGGUGGAAAGCUUUUGCGGUGUGGGAUGGGCCCGCGGCCUAUCAGCUUGUGGGUGGGGUGAUGGCCUACCAAGGCGACGGCGGGUAGCCGGCCUGAGAGGGUGACCGGCCACACUGGGACUGAGAUACGGCCCAGACUCCUACGGGAGGCAGCGGGGGGGAAUAGUGCACAAUGGGCGCAAGCCUGAUGCAGCGACGCCGCGUGAGGGAUGACGGCCUUCGGGUUGUAAACCUCUUUCAGCAUCGACGAAGCGUAAGUGACGGUAGGUGCAGAAGAAGGACCGGCCAACUACGUGCCAGCAGCCGCCGUAA